This 308-nucleotide long non-coding RNA is filed under the name Elaeis guineensis (African oil palm). Its description in RNAcentral is "long non-coding RNA (EGUI_LNC055337)". The record is from RNAcentral. Lineage: Eukaryota; Viridiplantae; Streptophyta; Magnoliopsida; Arecales; Arecaceae.
UCCUCCAAGGAUAGGAUAUUCAGAUCUUUGGCUUCUUGGAUUAUGGUCAUUUUGGCCUUCCAAGUCUUUCGUAAAGACCUAAGAAUCUUUCUCACGAGAUCACUGUUAGAAUAAGACUUACCAAGACUUUUUAGACCAUUAAUAAUAUCAGUAAAAUGAGUAAAUAUUUUAGUUAUUGAUUCAUCAUACUUCAUUUUAAAAAGUUCAUAUUUAUGCACAAGCAUGUUAAUUUUUGAUUCCUUCACUUGAUUAGUUCCUUCAUGAGUUACUUCCAUUGCGCUAUCGGAACCCAACAGUAUUUCACUAGG